AACAAUGUUUGGUUUAUUGUUAUGAUAUGCAAUACUUGGAUCUAGUUUCUUUGUAAAAAUAUCUGAGGGCAUUCUUUCUUUUUUUCUUUUAAUGUAGAGGCUCAGCUAGGACCUUUUGGAAGAAGAAAAGUGAGAAGAGCUAAAACUAUACUCAUUUGGUGGGUGCUCUUUUGAUCUUCCACUUGAAAGGGGAUCUGCCUAUUGGGUUUAGAAGGGAGUGCAAUCUAUUCAUCAGGGUCAUCGAAGAAUGGUGCCCCAUAAUGCCCAUGUAUAACACAUAACGAUAUGGUGGUAACGAUAUUGUGGUUGCUUUUGUUUAUAUGACAACUAGUAGCAAUUUGGUAAAUGAAAUUGCAAACAUGGUUGUGAGAUGGUGAGUUAUUUGGAAGUAGAUGAUGAGCUUCGUUAGUUCUCUAUCCUUAACUUGUGGCAUUGAAUUUGUCGGAAGUUUUUGGUAAACUAAUGUUUAUCUGAAUAUUGUAAGAAUCCUGCCGCGCAAAGCAAGCCAUAGUUCUCCAAGUUUUGAUAGGGGUCUGGUCUCCCAGAUAAUCAAUUCAGACUUGGACUUAUUUUUGGAUUAUCUUUUUUCACAUUUUAGGUCAAGACUUAGACUUGAGACUUAUUUUUUCCUAUCAGGAGAUGAGUCUGUCUCUGGAGGGAGAGGAGAGGAGACCCGCGAGGGUGAAGGAGGCUCCCCAAGCCAUUCAAGCGGGAACGGCCUCUUCAACCUUGAUCUUGGCGAUGAAGAUUUUGUCUCCAAUGUGGAAGUACCCAUGAAGUGGGGAAUGCCCGAAGUAGAGGAGACAUAGCAUUCAGAGUCAACAUUUACAUGAAUCACAGCCGCCUGCUUGGUCAUCAUUGAUGCCGGGAACAAAAUCAUUCCGAGUGAGAUGAUGGCCUUGAGAAGAGUAGACUUGUGUCGGUAUUUUAGAGAUGCAUUAGGAGCUAGGAAGCUCUGAA
Molecule: long non-coding RNA, 960 nt
Filed under: Phoenix dactylifera (date palm)
Lineage: Eukaryota; Viridiplantae; Streptophyta; Magnoliopsida; Arecales; Arecaceae
Description: long non-coding RNA (PDAC_LNC013156)
Source: RNAcentral